UUAGAGUUUGAAUCCUGGCUCAGAUUGAACGCUAGCGGGAUGCUUUACACAUGCAAGUCGAACGGCAGCGCGAGAGAGCUUGCUCUCUUGGCGGCGAGUGGCGGACGGGUGAGUAAUAUAUCGGAACGUGCCCAGUAGCGGGGGAUAACUACUCGAAAGAGUGGCUAAUACCGCAUACGCCCUACGGGGGAAAGGGGGGGAUCGCAAGACCUCUCACUAUUGGAGCGGCCGAUAUCGGAUUAGCUAGUUGGUGGGGUAAAGGCUCACCAAGGCAACGAUCCGUAGCUGGUUUGAGAGGACGACCAGCCACACUGGGACUGAGACACGGCCCAGACUCCUACGGGAGGCAGCAGUGGGGAAUUUUGGACAAUGGGGGAAACCCUGAUCCAGCCAUCCCGCGUGUAUGAUGAAGGCCUUCGGGUUGUAAAGUACUUUUGGCAGAGAAGAAAAGGUAUCCCCUAAUACGGGAUACUGCUGACGGUAUCUGCAGAAUAAGCACCGGCUAACUACGUGCCAGCAGCCGCGGUAAUACGUAGGGUGCAAGCGUUAAUCGGAAUUACUGGGCGUAAAGCGUGUGUAGGCGGUUCGGAAAGAAAGAUGUGAAAUCCCAGGGCUCAACCUUGGAACUGCAUUUUUAACUGCCGAGCUAGAGUAUGUCAGAGGGGGGUAGAAUUCCACGUGUAGCAGUGAAAUGCGUAGAUAUGUGGAGGAAUACCGAUGGCGAAGGCAGCCCCCUGGGAUAAUACUGACGCUCAGACCACGAAAGCGUGGGAGCAACNGAU
This 782-nucleotide ribosomal RNA is filed under the name Alcaligenes sp. BND-AN8. RNAcentral describes it as "bacterial SSU rRNA". It matches the Rfam family "Bacterial small subunit ribosomal RNA", at positions 1 to 778 of the family's 1533-position model. Lineage: Bacteria; Pseudomonadati; Pseudomonadota; Betaproteobacteria; Burkholderiales; Alcaligenaceae. The record is from RNAcentral.